Hydra vulgaris (swiftwater hydra) is the source of this 462-nucleotide long non-coding RNA. RefSeq lists it as uncharacterized. The record is from RefSeq and is a predicted model, not a curated record. NCBI's taxonomy places the organism in Eukaryota, Metazoa, Cnidaria, Hydrozoa, Anthoathecata, Hydridae.
AAAACGUUUUAUUCAGGAUCGUUUUACGUUCGUAUGGAACAUAAAUAAAAUUUUCUAAUAAUUACAAGUCUUUUUGCUCAAGUAGCUUUGUUUUGAUGUUUAAGUAGAUUAAGUGAUUAGUAGAUUUGUUAAAAUUAUGUCAUCUUCUUAUAUCCGCCAAAUCCGGUAAUAAAAACAGCUAAACGUAAUCAAAAUAGAGAAGGUUUGAAUAUUCUUUUUAUCUAUUUAAUAAUACUAAAGUUAAUAGUAGUAGUGCUCUUUCGAGCCUGUUUGAUACAGACCUCUUGGCAGCCAUUGGAAUCGAGGUAAUGGGGAGAGAGAGUUGCAACAGCUUUGUUUUAUAAGAAAACGUGAACGAAAAUGUAUCUUUAAACGAAGGUGUAUCUUUGAACGAAACUGUAUGUUUAGUGUAUUUUUAUUAUGUAUGUAAUAUCAAGAUUUGUAAUAAUAAAUACGUAACAU